This 447-nucleotide ribosomal RNA is filed under the name uncultured bacterium. RNAcentral describes it as "SSU rRNA". It matches the Rfam family "Bacterial small subunit ribosomal RNA", at positions 26 to 518 of the family's 1533-position model. The record is from RNAcentral.
AGAACGAACGCUGGCGGCAGGCCUCAAACAUGCAAGUCUAGGGGGUGUAGCAAUACAUCACCGGCGGACGGGUGCGUAACACGUGGGAAUAUACCUUUUGGUUCGGAACAACGCAGGGAAACUUGCGCUAAUACCGAAUGUGCCCUUACGGGGAAAGAUUUAUCGCCAAAGGAUUAGCCCGCGUAGGAUUAGCUAGUUGGUGAGGUAAUAGCUCACCAAGGCUCCGAUCCUUAGCUGUUCUGAGAGGAAGAUCAGCCACACUGGGACUGAGACACGGCCCAGACUCCUACGGGAGGCAGCAGUUGGGAAUCUUGGACAAUGGGGAAACCCUGAUCCAGCCAUGCCGCGUGAGUGAUGAAGGCCUUCGGGUUGUAAAACUCUUUCGGACGGGGACGAUAAUGACGGUACCCGUAGAAGAGCUCGGCUAACUUCGCGCCAGCACGCCGC